This 478-nucleotide ribosomal RNA is filed under the name uncultured bacterium. Its description in RNAcentral is "partial 16S ribosomal RNA". It matches the Rfam family "Bacterial small subunit ribosomal RNA", at positions 28 to 523 of the family's 1533-position model. The record is from RNAcentral.
GACGAACGCUGGCGGCGUGCUUAACACAUGCAAGUCGAACGGUAAGGCCCUUCGGGGUACACGAGUGGCGAACGGGUGAGUAACACGUGGGUGAUCUGCCCUGCACUUCGGGAUAAGCCUGGGAAACUGGGUCUAAUACCGGAUAGGACCACUGCCUGCAUGGGUGGUGGUGGAAAGCUUUUGCGGUGUGGGAGGGGCCCGCGGCCUAUCAGCUUGUUGGUGGGGUGGUGGCCUACCAAGGCGACGACGGGUAGCCGGCCUGAGAGGGUGACCCGCAACACUGGGACUGGGAUCCGGCCCAGACUCCUACGGGAGGCAGCAGUGGGGAAUAUUGCACACUGGGCGCAAGCCUGAUGCAGCGACGCCGCGUGAGGGAUGACGGCCUUCGGGUUGUAAACCUCUUUCAGCACCGACGAAGCGCAAGUGACGGUAGGUGCAGAAGAGGGACCGGCCAACUACGUGCCAGCCGCCGCGGUAA